RNAcentral lists this ribosomal RNA (470 nucleotides) under Porphyromonas sp. oral taxon F92. RNAcentral's name for it is "bacterial SSU rRNA". It matches the Rfam family "Bacterial small subunit ribosomal RNA", at positions 28 to 485 of the family's 1533-position model. Lineage: Bacteria; Pseudomonadati; Bacteroidota; Bacteroidia; Bacteroidales; Porphyromonadaceae. The record is from RNAcentral.
GAUGAACGCUAGCGAUAGGCUUAACACAUGCAAGUCGAGGGGCAGCAUGAUCUUAGCUUGCUAAGGUCGAUGGCGACCGGCGCACGGGUGCGUAACGCGUAUGCAACUUGCCUUACAGAGGGGGAUAACCCGUUGAAAGACGGACUAAAACCGCAUACACUUGUAUUAUUGCAUGAUAUUACAAGGAAAUAUUUAUAGCUGUAAGAUAGGCAUGCGUCCCAUUAGCUUGUUGGUGAGGUAACGGCUCACCAAGGCGACGAUGGGUAGGGGAACUGAGAGGUUUAUCCCCCACACUGGUACUGAGACACGGACCAGACUCCUACGGGAGGCAGCAGUGAGGAAUAUUGGUCAAUGGGCGAUAGCCUGAACCAGCCAAGUCGCGUGAAGUAAGACAGUCAUAAGAAUGGUUAACUUCUUUUAUACGUGCAAACGGGCGAUAUGUGUAUAUGACAUUGCCAUCUACCGGAAGA